UAUAAGUGCAGUUGUGGUUUUCCAUGUUGAAUGUUUGACCGUUUGUCUUAUUUGAAAAAAAAUAUGAUUAGUAUUUUUAUUGUUAUUAGAUGAUAAAACAUGAAAAAUACUUUACAUGUGAAUAAUUUUUUUCCCAAUUUGUUCAUAAAUUUUUCAAAUAAGACAGAUAAUCAAACGUUCGACACGGAAACCCAUAACGACAAUUAUA
Oryza glumipatula is the source of this 208-nucleotide non-coding RNA. The record is from Rfam. Lineage: Eukaryota; Viridiplantae; Streptophyta; Magnoliopsida; Poales; Poaceae.